This 466-nucleotide ribosomal RNA is filed under the name uncultured bacterium. Its description in RNAcentral is "partial 16S ribosomal RNA". It matches the Rfam family "Bacterial small subunit ribosomal RNA", at positions 28 to 507 of the family's 1533-position model. The record is from RNAcentral.
GACGAACGCUGGCGGUGUGCUUAACACAUGCAAGUCGAACGGUAAGGCCCUUUCUGGGGUACACGAGUGGCGAACGGGUGAGUAACACGUGUGUAACCUGCCCUCAUCUCUGGGAUAACCGUCGGAAACGGUUGCUAAUACUGGCUAUGAUCUUGCAAGGCAUCUUGUGGGUUGGUCAGAUUUUCUGGGUUGGGGUUUGACUCGCGGCCUAUCGGCUUGUUGGGGGGUGAGUGGCUCACCAAGGCUUCGUCGGGUAGACGGCCUGAGAGGGCGACCGGCCAUAUUGGGACUGAGAGACGGCCCAAACUCCGACGGGAGGCAGCAGUGGGGAAGAUUGCACAAUGGACGGCAGUUGUAUGAAGCAGCGCUGCGGGCGGGAUGACGGCCUUCGGGUUGUAAACCGCUUUCAAGUGUGACGAAGCUUUUUGUGACGGUAGCAGUAGAAGAAGCACCGGCUAACUACGUG